This 174-nucleotide unclassified non-coding RNA is filed under the name uncultured Eurotiomycetes. Its description in RNAcentral is "sequence contains ITS2". The record is from RNAcentral. Lineage: Eukaryota; Fungi; Ascomycota; Eurotiomycetes.
UCACCCCUCAAGCCUCCGGGCUUGGUGUUGGACGGUUUGGUCUCGGGUGACGAGACCCCUCCUAAAAUCAACGACGGCGGCCUGUUCGACCCCCCGGUACACGGAGCUUCUUAACUGAGCACGUAUCGGCCUAGGCAGGACCCGGUCAUCUUCCUUAACCGGAAAACCUCUCAA